This 379-nucleotide ribosomal RNA is filed under the name uncultured bacterium. RNAcentral describes it as "bacterial SSU rRNA". It matches the Rfam family "Bacterial small subunit ribosomal RNA", at positions 29 to 410 of the family's 1533-position model. The record is from RNAcentral.
AUUGAACGCUGGCGGCAUGCCUUACACAUGCAAGUCGAACGGCAGCACGGGGGCAACCCUGGUGGCGAGUGGCGGACGGGUGAGUAAUGCAUCGGAACGUGCCCUGAAGUGGGGGAUAACGCAGCGAAAGCUACGCUAAUACCGCAUAUUCUGUGAGCAGGAAAGCAGGGGAUCGCAAGACCUUGCGCUUUGGGAGCGGCCGAUGUCGGAUUAGCUAGUUGGUGGGUAAAGGCCUACCAAGGCGACGAUCCGUAGCGGGUCUGAGAGGAUGAUCCGCCACACUGGGACUGAGACACGGCCCAGACUCCUACGGGAGGCAGCAGUGGGGAAUUUUGGGACAAUGGGCGAAGCCUGAUCCAGCCAUGCCGCGUGAGUGAAG